GGGGGGGGGGGGUGUGGGGUGCAUGGAAUAUUUUGCUAUUCCAUAUGAUAGCCUUCCCAAGCUAAUUGAAAUCCUAGCACUCAUUCGUCCAAAUGAAAGGAGGGAUAAAAAAAACCCAUUAAACAUCAUUCUGGCAUACGAAUCUCCCUAAUAGUGGAUAGCAGCACCUCAUCCCCAGCAAUCAAUCGCAACUGCUUUAUGAACAUAUCUCUGGCCAACUUACCCCCUCUGUAAGUAUCAUAUAAUGUCACCACUUCCCGAAUUUUGGUGGGAGGGAGCAAAUUCCUCAUCUUCGAAAACAAUUUCUCAAGGGAAUAUUUCAUACAAGUCGGUCCUUUCACUUGGCCUAACAAACAACAUCAACUAAAAUCGCCAUACUAAACGAACAACCAAAGCGCAACCACAAUGACAAAAAGAACCAACAUUUACCUUGCACUUGAUGAGCAGAUUUGUAGCUCACAACACACUCGGGGAUAAUGUGUCUGUUCAUAUUGCUUGACCAAACAAUAUACCACUUGGGAUUGUUAAGAUCAUCUGCACCAGUAUCAAAUUGAAAGUUUGAAGGAUAAUAUUGUUGUGACCCCAUCUCGACUUUCUCAACAUUACCCAAGAUAACUCUACACAGUAUAAGAUGUUUUUCGCCGUUACCAUCCAUCUCCGAUAACUUUGCACUCAUAUAGGGCAAUCCCAAAGGAGACAGAUAAACACCAACCCCAUAACAUUCAGUACCGGAAAUCUUGCUAGGUACCCCAAACCCAUGCGCUAAAAUACUCUCCACACCCUUCGCCGAUGCGCCAUGCCAAGCAUACACCAAAUUAGACAGACCACGCGCGGCCUUCGUAAUCUCAAUCUGCUUUUGGAAAACCUCAUAACGCGCCUUCUCCAAAUGACCAUCGCGCGUGCAUUGAUAAAUGGCGGUAAUUGUAGCACCGGCAUCAACUUUCCUUAUCCCAGACAAAAAAUAAUCCCUAACCAUUGAAUAAGCUUUUUCACCUUCUGUCAAUAACCUAGCAUUGGGCCAUCUAGAUGUUUCCACAUCGGGAAAACAUAAACGCGGCCGUUUCGAAGCAUCCUCCUCUUGCUUAAUCGACGAAUUAACCUCGGGCUCUUCUUUAUCCAAUCCAUCCCUCUUUCGCUUAAUUGGACUAUUAUCAAUCCGAAUCUCAAUUUCAAUUUUAGGAUUCUCCGAUUUCUUCGGCCUACCAUCAAAAUCCUCACCGACAAACAUUUUAGGGAAAAAACACUUCCCUUUCUCAUCAAUCCACGCAAUCGAUCGCUGACAGCCGGAGUCGAAAUCAGUUUGCAACAUGCGCAUGAAAUCAAAAACAUACCUGGAGCCACUGAUUAACAAGUCAACCAUGGGCUUGCCCUCUACAAAAGCAGAUUUCAGAGAACCGAGCACUUCAUCGGGGAAAUUCAGCCAGGAACCAUCGUGACUGAAGUACAUAAAGCGAACCGGAGUGGCGCUGCGCUUGAAAUUGCCGUGAUUCUGCAACAUGAUCUUGGAAGAACAUAAAUCCGUCGAGUGAAUCCCGCAGCAGUUCUGAGUCCUGGGCGGCGAAGAAGAAGACGAAGAUGCUGAAGUUGAUUUGGAUUCCACCAUGUUCCUUCCUUCAAGAACCAUAACUUUACACCACUUGCAGGUAAAUGCAAUUGUAUGGUCUACGAAAUUGACAAAGAACCAGUAGAAUCAACAGUAACGAUUUGCGGAGCUGCCAUUUAUAAUUGAUGGAAACUAUCCACCUUACUAAAAUACCCUUAGCUAUUUAUUCAUGGUUAAGUCGGUGAUCGCCGUAUUUUGGUAGGGGUGUUUUGGAGAUUGUGGCGUGCGACUUUGUCCAGAAUCAGGAAAAAA
This 1855-nucleotide unclassified non-coding RNA is filed under the name Hevea brasiliensis (rubber tree). The record is from RNAcentral. Lineage: Eukaryota; Viridiplantae; Streptophyta; Magnoliopsida; Malpighiales; Euphorbiaceae.